This 1045-nucleotide unclassified non-coding RNA is filed under the name Hevea brasiliensis (rubber tree). The record is from RNAcentral. Lineage: Eukaryota; Viridiplantae; Streptophyta; Magnoliopsida; Malpighiales; Euphorbiaceae.
GCAACAUGUCGACCGCAAAGAUAACACCGUCAGCUGCUUCAUUUGCGACUUCUAUCAAACACCUUGCGGGCAUUCAACUACCUCGAUGCCAAAGCACCAUUUUUACCUCCAAUUCCACGAAGUUCAGAGCACCCAGAAGAGGUUUUACUGUAUCAAUGGCGGCUUCAAUCGAAACCCCUCUUGAAGUAUGCGUCAAACAAUCAAUUACAACUCCUAACAAGCUCGGUGACUGCCCAUUCACCCAGAGGGUUUUGCUUACGUUGGAGGAGAAACACCUUCCAUAUGACAUGAAGUUUGUUGACUUGAGUAACAAGCCUGACUGGUUUUUGAAGAUAAGCCCUGAAGGUAAAGUUCCUCUUAUUAAGCUUGACGAGAAAUGGGUGCCAGAUUCAGAUGUCAUCUCACAGGCACUGGAGGAGAAGUUCCCCAAACCUCCGCUGACAACUCCUCCUGAGAAGGCUUCCGUCGGAUCAAAGAUUUUCCCCAAGUUUGUUGCUUUCCUGAAAAGCAAAGACUCCGGUGAUGGAACAGAGCAGGCUUUACUUGAUGAGCUGACAGCUUUCAAUGAUUACCUUAAAGAAAAUGGUCCAUUUAUCAACGGAAAUGAGGUAUCUGCUGCUGAUUUGUCGCUUGGACCAAAGCUAUAUCAUUUAGAAAUAGCUUUGGGGAACUAUAAGAAUUGGUCUAUUCCAGAUUCACUUUCCUACAUGAAAUCAUACAUGAAGAGUAUAUUCUCCAGGGAAUCAUUCAUCAACACGCGGGCACUAAAAGAGGAUGUCAUUGAGGGUUGGCGACCAAAAGUCAUGGGUUAGACAAACUAUAUCAUCUUUUGCAUUUCUGAGGAUUAGGUUUUUGUCGCAAGGUAUAGUAAGCUAGCAUUUGGAAGGCUGUAAGACAGUUCUUUGCCCUGUAUAUUGUUAUUAAAACACAUACUCAUCCUUGUUAGACUGAAUGAUAGCCUGAGUUAUAUAUGUAAUACAUACUUCCUAAGGCUUGUGCAUAUGCAAAAAUUCUUACUUUUUCAGAUCAGGAAUGUUAUAGCAGA